ACGCUCGACACCUAUGGGAGGCAGCAGUGGGGAAUAUUGCACAAUGGGGGAAACCCUGAUGCAGCGACGCCGCGUGAAGGAAGAAGUAUUUCGGUAUGUAAACUUCUAUCAGCAGGGAAGAAAAUGACGGUACCUGAGUAAGAAGCACCGGCUAAAUACGUGCUAGCAGCCGCGGUAAUCUGAGCGGGCUGGCAAGGC
This 198-nucleotide ribosomal RNA is filed under the name uncultured bacterium. RNAcentral's name for it is "partial 16S ribosomal RNA". It matches the Rfam family "Bacterial small subunit ribosomal RNA", at positions 328 to 539 of the family's 1533-position model. The record is from RNAcentral.